ACUCCUACGGGAGGCAGCAGUAAGGAAUAUUGGUCAAUGGACGAAAGUCUGAACCAGCCAUGCCGCGUGAAGGAUUAAGGCCCUCUGGGUUGUAAACUUCUUUUAUCUGGGACGAAAAAAGGGUAUUCUUACUCACUUGACGGUACCAGAGGAAUAAGCACCGGCUAACUCCGUGCCAGCAGCCGCGGUAAUACGGAGGGUGCAAGCGUUAUCCGGAUUUACUGGGUUUAAAGGGUGCGUAGGUGGGUUUGUAAGUCAGUGGUGAAAUCUCCGAGCUUAACUCGGAAACUGCCGUUGAUACUAUAAAUCUUGAAUUAUAUGGAGGUAAGCGGAAUAUGUCAUGUAGCGGUGAAAUGCUUAGAUAUGACAUAGAACACCAAUUGCGAAGGCAGCUUACUACGUAUUUAUUGACACUGAGGCACGAAAGCGUGGGGAUCAAACAGGAUUAGAUACCCUGGUAGUC
RNAcentral lists this ribosomal RNA (463 nucleotides) under uncultured bacterium. Its description in RNAcentral is "bacterial SSU rRNA". It matches the Rfam family "Bacterial small subunit ribosomal RNA", at positions 335 to 795 of the family's 1533-position model. The record is from RNAcentral.